AUUAAGCCGCUGCAGCUGUGGGCUGUGAUGGUUGAUGCUCUUUAAGAAUCGUUGCUGCUGGGGUGACUGGAAUUGCUACUGCCAGUUCUAACGUUGCUACCGAUGCUGUUGACUUGUCCCAAUUCAAGUUAAGUGUCACUGCCCUAGAGUUGUUUCUGCGUUUGAUUCCAUCAAAUUCGAUGUUGCUGCGAGUGUAAUCGGAGUUGGUGAUGCUGCCAUCAUUCCGGUUGUGUUGGAA
Molecule: non-coding RNA, 238 nt
Organism: Arachis ipaensis
Lineage: Eukaryota; Viridiplantae; Streptophyta; Magnoliopsida; Fabales; Fabaceae
Source: RefSeq, a predicted model, not a curated record